GUGGUCAAGCUACUAAGAGCAUGUGGGGGAUGUCUCGGCACCAGAAGGCGAUGAUAGGCGUGGAAGACUGCGAUAAGUCCGGAGGAGUUGUCAAACAAACGUUGAUCCCGGAAUUCCUGAGCGAACCCAGGGAACUGAAACAUCUAAGUACCUGGAGGAAGAGAAAGAAACCUCGACUCCCUAAGUAGCGGCGAGCGAAAAGGGACCAGCCCAAACCGUCGGUUUCGAUCGGCGGGGUUGUGGGGCGGACAACAUGUAUCAGGCAGGCUAGAGGAAGCCGUUGGAAAGCGGCGCAACACAGGGUGACAGCCCCGUACUCGAAAGCUUCGCUUGAGCUAGUCCUGUCCCCGAGUAGGUCCAGUCACGUGGAACCUGGACUGAAUCCGGGAGGCCCAUCUCCCAAGGCUAAGUACUCACUGGUGACCGAUAGUUAACAAGUAGCGCGAGCGAAAGAUGGGAAGAACCCCUGCUAGGGGAGGAUACUGAACCUGAAACCACAUGCUUACAAGCUGUCGGAGCCCCUUAUGUGGGUGACGGCGUGCCUAUUGAAUAAUGAGCCAGCGAGUUGCUGUCGUCGGUUGGUUAAGGCCUUCAGGGCCGGAGCCUCAGGGAAACCGAGUCUGAAUAGGGCGUAUUAUCGAUGGCGGCAGACGCGAAUCCACGUGAACUACGCAUGGGCAGGUUGA
This 686-nucleotide ribosomal RNA is filed under the name Planctomycetales bacterium 12-60-4. Its description in RNAcentral is "bacterial LSU rRNA". It matches the Rfam family "Bacterial large subunit ribosomal RNA", at positions 1 to 748 of the family's 2925-position model. The record is from RNAcentral. Lineage: Bacteria; Pseudomonadati; Planctomycetota; Planctomycetia; Planctomycetales.